AACUUCUAAAAGUGUUUUGAAAACACAAAUAAGAUAAAUAUCUAGAAGUUU
This 51-nucleotide transfer RNA is filed under the name Longipodacrangonyx sp. 1 MDMBR-2012. Its description in RNAcentral is "transfer RNA Serine". The record is from RNAcentral. Lineage: Eukaryota; Metazoa; Arthropoda; Malacostraca; Amphipoda; Metacrangonyctidae.